Molecule: ribosomal RNA, 442 nt
Filed under: uncultured bacterium
Lineage: Bacteria
Description: partial 16S ribosomal RNA
Rfam family: Bacterial small subunit ribosomal RNA
Source: RNAcentral
CCUACGGGUGGCAGCAGUGGGGAAUAUUGGGCAAUGGGCGCAAGCCUGACCCAGCAACGCCGCGUGAAGGAAGAAGGCUUUCGGGUUGUAAACUUCUUUUGACAGGGAAGAGCAGAAGACGGUACCUGUCGAAUAAGCCACGGCUAACUACGUGCCAGCAGCCGCGGUAAUACGUAGGUGGCAAGCGUUGUCCGGAUUUACUGGGUGUAAAGGGCGUGUAGCCGGGCUGACAAGUCAGAUGUGAAAUCCGGGGGCUCAACCCCCGAACUGCAUUUGAAACUGUUGGUCUUGAGUAUCGGAGAGGCAGGCGGAAUUCCUGGUGUAGCGGUGAAAGGCGUAGAUAUCAGGAGGAACACCGGCGGCGAAGGCGGCCUGCUGGACCGCGACUGACGUUGAGGCUCGAAAGCGUGGGGAGCGAACAGGAUUAGAUACCCUAGUAGUC